GAUGAACGCUGGCGGCGUGCCUAAUACAUGCAAGUCGAGCGAACAGACGAGGCGCUUGCUCCUCUGACGUUAGCGGCGGACGGGUGAGUAACACGUGGAUAACCUACCUAUAAGACUGGGAUAACUUCGGGAAACCGGAGCUAAUACCGGAUAAUAUAUUGAACCGCAUGGUUCAAUAGUGAAAGACGGUUUUGCUGUCUCUUAUAGAUGGAUCCGCGCCGCAUUAGCUAGUUGGUAAGGUAACGGCUUACCAAGGCGACGAUGCGUAGCCGACCUGAGAGGGUGAUCGGCCACACUGGAACUGAGACACGGUCCAGACUCCUACGGGAGGCAGCAGUAGGGAAUCUUCCGCAAUGGGCGAAAGCUUGACGGAGCAACGCCGCGUGAGUGAUGAAGGUCUUCGGAUCGUAAAACUCUGUUAUUAGGGAAGAACAAAUGUGUAAGUAACUAUGCACGUCUUGACGGUACCUAAUCAGAAAGCCACGGCUAACUACGUG
This 497-nucleotide ribosomal RNA is filed under the name uncultured bacterium. RNAcentral's name for it is "partial 16S ribosomal RNA". It matches the Rfam family "Bacterial small subunit ribosomal RNA", at positions 28 to 507 of the family's 1533-position model. The record is from RNAcentral.